RNAcentral lists this ribosomal RNA (253 nucleotides) under uncultured bacterium. Its description in RNAcentral is "partial 16S ribosomal RNA". It matches the Rfam family "Bacterial small subunit ribosomal RNA", at positions 524 to 776 of the family's 1533-position model. The record is from RNAcentral.
UACGAAGGGGGCUAGCGUUGUUCGGAAUCACUGGGCGUAAAGGGCGCGUAGGCGGCUUGAUAAGUCGGGGGUGAAAGCCUGUGGCUCAACCACAGAAUUGCCUUCGAUACUGUCGAGCUUGAGACCGGAAGAGGUAAGUGGAACUGCGAGUGUAGAGGUGAAAUUCGUAGAUAUUCGCAAGAACACCAGUGGCGAAGGCGGCUUACUGGUCCGAUUCUGACGCUGAGGAGCGAAAGCGUGGGGAGCGAACAGG